This is a non-coding RNA of Myodes glareolus (Bank vole), 1905 nucleotides long. The record is from RefSeq and is a predicted model, not a curated record. Lineage: Eukaryota; Metazoa; Chordata; Mammalia; Rodentia; Cricetidae.
CUCCAGUCGGCUGAGAGCAGAUUCAUUUCUUUCAGCGCAUUCUUUAGUGCUCUGCCUAGCUGCUCCACACUUAGAGGUUGCUAAGGAGGCACAAUGGGGAGGAGCCAUCUUGAGUGACAGCGCCUACGUGCCAGAGUGCACGUGUGGAGCUCUUGACGGACUUGCCAAGAUCCAGAAGGUUCUCUGAUCUCUUGGAGUUCCCUGGCCUCUCCCUACCGCCAGACCUGUGUCUGCAGAUGGACACUGGGAGCGGCAGAUGGCCCAGGCCAUCUCUCAGAUGGGAGCACACUGAGCGCCAGGAGCCCUUGUUAGGGUCAUUGUGGAUAUCUGGGGAGAGUCAUCCAGACUUCACCAGCCCUGAGCCCAUGAGAAUCCUCAACAGGUGCAUGCUGGUCAUCCCCCAAAGCGCUGCAAGCUGUCUCCAGUGCAUGUUCCCAUGCCACAGAUGAGGCACAAUGAGGCUGAGAGGGAGCAAGGAGGCAAGCCCAGCGCAAACUUGGCUUCCAGACUUCAAGUUGCCAACCCCCAAAGAGGCUGUUUGUCCACGAGGAGCGCUUGUGUGUGGAGUAGGAUCUUCAGGAAAACCCACCUCGCUCCUAAAGCUUGCUGAUCUCCUCACUGACCUGGGGUUUGAAAUCUAAACCCCUACCACCAGGCAGACCUAGACUACAGUCAGGAGUCCUCAGCACACUAAGCCACUAAAGGUCUCCUUCCACCAGGAUUCUGCCUGGGAUCCCAGCCCAGCCUGGCUAGUGGGGAGGAAAGAUGGCCUGGUGUAGAGCCAGCCUCAAAGAAUUAGAAUCUUUGGCUCAGUGGGACUGAGCAUAGCAGGACAAGGGUGGGGUAGGCAGAGCUCAACAUUCCUGACGUGAAGGGGACACAAUGGGAAGAAACAAGUGUUAGAAAUAAUCCUUAAGAGAAACCUCUCCACCUAUGCGAAUAAUUUCACAUAGAUUAGAUAAUAAUAAUAAUUUCACAUUUGAUUAGACCAAAUCAAAGAUGCCCACAUUUAAUAAAUGCAGUGCUCCCAGGUGGUCGGGAGCACAGCGAGGGAGAGACCACGUAAAACCCGCGACCACGUGUUUCUUUUUCCGCAGAGAGCCUAAAUAGCCUGUGGGAGUGGUCCUGACCUUCCCUAGGGAGGGGCUAGUGUUUGGUGGGCUUUCCUGGAGGUUUGGUCAAAAGUGAGACCCCAGCCCUCUAACACCCCUCUAUCUAAGGAGUCUGGGAUGAUUGGAAGCAUCACCCCAGUUCCUGGGCCAAUGGAGCAGAAUGCUCUAUUCAAGUCCCCUCCCACAAUUGUCUGUGUAGCCAAAAAAGCUGUCUCAUUUUUGCUCAUUUAUCCCUCUCAGAUCUGUCUAAUGGCAUUCGAUAAUUUAAGGUACUGUUAACUUAUUACUUCAUCCAUGACAUUUAAUGAAGUUUCCUGCUAAAAUACAGACAGGCGUGCCUCUUUAACAGGCUUCAUAGUUAAGGAUUAUUAGGUUUCAGGAGUAUCCUAAAAGCAAUAGCCUUUUGCUAUGACACCAAGAUAUAAAUCUGUUCCAGUUCUCUUACAGAUACUACACAGGUUCCUGGAAAAGUUCUAUUGCUGUAUCAAAAAUCAGGUCUGGUAAAAGACUAACUGUCUCCAGAGCCUAUUUUAACCCCAGCCAGUUUCAAACAUAUUUUACAGGUCACUCCUGCUGCCUGGGCCAAGACCAACUUACAAAGCAGUCUUCAGACAAUGCCAACAUCUUCCUGGGACUUCACCAUGAGUACCAACUCUCCUGGAUCAAGGACACCUGCCAACUAAAAUCUGGUUUUAUCUACUAUUGUGUCCCAUUACAUGGCUAGCCCCAUUUCAUAGGGCCAAUAAUAACAAUAUACUUUUUCUCCCAGCCACCUGCCUUCUCAUCUCCCUCA